GCCCCAGUAGCUCAGUCGGAUAGAGCAACUGCCUUCUAAGCAGUGGGUCGCGGGUUCAAUUCCUGCCUGGGGCA
Molecule: transfer RNA, 74 nt
Filed under: Chloroflexota bacterium
Lineage: Bacteria; Bacillati; Chloroflexota
Description: Chloroflexi bacterium tRNA-Arg
Rfam family: tRNA
About the family: Transfer RNA (tRNA) molecules are approximately 80 nucleotides in length. Their secondary structure includes four short double-helical elements and three loops (D, anti-codon, and T loops). Further hydrogen bonds mediate the characteristic L-shaped molecular structure. tRNAs have two regions of fundamental functional importance: the anti-codon, which is responsible for specific mRNA codon recognition, and the 3' end, to which the tRNAs corresponding amino acid is attached (by aminoacyl-tRNA synthetases). tRNAs cope with the degeneracy of the genetic code in two manners: having more than one tRNA (with a specific anti-codon) for a particular amino acid; and 'wobble' base-pairing, i.e. permitting non-standard base-pairing at the 3rd anti-codon position.
Source: RNAcentral